RNAcentral lists this ribosomal RNA (397 nucleotides) under uncultured bacterium. Its description in RNAcentral is "partial 16S ribosomal RNA". It matches the Rfam family "Bacterial small subunit ribosomal RNA", at positions 523 to 918 of the family's 1533-position model. The record is from RNAcentral.
AUACGUAGGGGGCGAGCGUUGUCCGGAAUGAUUGGGCGUAAAGGGCGCGUAGGCGGCCCGGUAAGUCUGGAGUGAAAGUCCUGUUUUUAAGAUGGGAAUUGCUUUGGAUACUGUCGGGCUUGAGUGUAGGAGAGGUAAGUGGAAUUCCCCGUGUAGCGGUGAAAUGCGUAGAGAUUGGGAGGAACACCAGUGGCGAAGGCGACUUACUGGACUGUAACUGACGCUGAGGCGCGAAAGUGUGGGGAGCAAACAGGAUUAGAUACCCUGGUAGUCCACACUGUAAACGAUGAAUGCUAGGUGUAGGGGGUAUCGACCCCUUCUGUGCCGCAGUCAACACAAUAAGCAUUCCGCCUGGGGAGUACGGCCGCAAGGUUGAAACUCAAAUGAAUUGACGGGG